UUAAUUGAAAAGGAAUAAAGGAGCCGCCUAGUGCAAGAAGAUCUCACGUUCACGCAGGAUUCAGGGAUAAGGGCGCAUGCCAAAAGGUAUGAUGUAAACAACUUACUUUGAUGUGGCUGAUUUCACGACCCAAAAUCGUGAACUAGAAGUCACUUAGAAAUAAUUUGAUCAUUGCUACAAGACUCUCCUUCUAAAUGAAAAAGAAUCAGUCAUUAAAUUCAGGUCAGUUAUCUAAUUGAAGUGGCUAAAAUUGCAAACUCAUGCACAAACGAUUUUAUUCCCACGUCUCGAGCUGAACCCCUCCAUAAUUUGCUGUGUUAGCUGUAUGAGCAAUAAGUUUACAUGUUUGACCAGAAGUAUAAGUACAUGGGACUAGUUUUAUCAUCAUUUCUGGAAUAAACAGCUAAAGAAGAGCAUAAUUUGAUUGAGCAAGUAUAUUAAUUGAAGAGACAACUCAUCCAUUAUGAAUAUUCUUAGUACAACAGUUAAUGGGGCUCCACUAUUAAGCUAUUAAGCCAAUAUCCAACGAUAUAAGGCCCUACGAGUAUAAUGAACAAUUGACGGCAUAGAAAUACACACAUAAAUACUGUAUACAAAGAUUUGAAAGCCAGACAAAACAUUACACUAACCAAGGGUAAAAACUAGCAAAAAGGCAUCUAAUAUUUCAUGGAGGGCCUGCGCAUACCUCCAAGUGAAACCAGAGCUGCCUACAACCUUGAGCAACCUUUUCAGAGAAAGGACUAAGAGCAGAUCACUAGGUCUUCGUUUUUUAACCGAGCAUUUACUUGUAUGUUACAUCCGCAACUGUUUAAGAUUUGGAAAAUGCACGUAGUGUUUCAUCGAGGGCCUUCUGGUCAUAAUCACCGGUAAAGACACAGUUACCUAGCGGACCUUCUAGAAGGAUGAGUCUUAGCUUCCCAUCUGCCACUUUUUUAUCAACCUGACACCAAAAACAACAGAAUUAAUGGUUGAAGCAAUGACUUCUAGCUAUUAGGAGCUCAACAAACUAUUGACUCUUACAGCCAUGAUAGACUUGAACAUCUCUACAGUCAUAGUUUCUGGAGGUGCAGUCGGCAGCUUUGCCUGUUGUAAGAUAUUGUGCACUCGCUGUACCAGUGAAUCAUCAAUCCAUCCAAGGCGGCGUGACAUGUCAACAGCCAUGACCUAAAAAAAUAGCACCUAGUUUAUGCAUCACAUAUAGAAAUUGAUCCCUCAUUAUUUUCUUAUGUUUUCUCCUUCUUUCACAUUUCUCUAAGGGGCUGUCCAAUAGGGGUAGGGGCCACUUGCAUAUGAGGUAACAAAAGUAUGAGACCUAUACCGUGCCAGCAGCAACUGCUUCUCCGUGAAGCCACUGCCCAUAGCCAAAGCCAGUCUCAACUGCCUGCAAAUAAUAGCUCUUCCAGUGAGAGGAUAUUAACUCAUAACACGACUUUACGAAAAGAAUACGUAACAUUUGAUAUUUUCCUUAAGAUACGAAGAUUCGCUGUUUGCGCAUAACAAAAAGCAUUUUUUUCCAGACGAGGAAGUAGAGACUUCCAGAAGUGUCAAAAGUCCCUUAAGCAUUUUAAGAUGAAGACAAAUAAACAAGACUGAAACUUACAAACUAUCAUAAAGUUGUAAUGAUACAAAGCUAGUCUCCCUAAACUAUGAGAGUCUUAAGAGGCAAACAAACUAUUAAAUGAUGAGACACCAAGAGAUGGUCAUUGAGCUCCCGUAAUACAGCAGCAAAAGGAUUGUGUAACAACUGUCAAGAACUUACAUGACCAAAGGUAUGACCCAAGUUCAAAGUUGCCCUCAGUCCACUUUCCUUCUCAUCUAAAGAAACAACCUCUGCUUUGUUUUCACAUGAACGCUUGAUAGCAUAGGCAAAUGCAGUACGGUCCCUGGAAAAAGGAUAACCAUUUUCAAUAACGUGUGAAAUAGCAUCAGAUAGCUAGCUUACAUUAGUCUUAGAAAUACGAAGCUUAAGGUUAUGACAUGGAUGACUCAGUUCGAAUGAUACAAAGCUUAGAUGUACAUACUUUUGAAACCAGCUUGGCCUUUAGAAUGACAAUUUCAAUUUAUCGAGAAAAGGUUAUGAUAUGGGAGAAUAAUGCCAUUUAUAUUUAUGCAGUGAAUGCUAACUACAAAAAGAAGACUAACUUCCAAUUGAAGCCCAAUAUAAAGCUCAAAGGCUUUAAUAUGUUUCCAAAAAAAAUGGGCGGGACGCUUAACUCCUCUUAGAUUCCCCAAUUUCUCAUCAGGGUAUUCUCGUACAUUCUUAAUGGGCCAAAUAAGAUGGUAGUAAACUUAAAUUUUGUGCCUAUGUAAGUCUCUUGCUAGAGAUGAAAGCUGGACAAAGAAAAAGUUGACAAUUCAACUAUUCAAUACCAUACUAUUCUUUUACCUUGCUAAUAAUAAUGGCAUAUUCUGCUCUUGCCACUCAAAGAACUCAGCAUCUCUAACGAGUCCAUAUUUUAUCACCUCUGCGAGGCCGGAUGCUAAUUCUCUAUCUGGUAAUGUAUCCAGGGUGUCCGUGUCUACAAGCACACACUGUGGUUGGUAGAAUGUUCCAAUCAUAUUUUUACCAAGCGGAUGGUUUAUUCCAGUUUUGCCUCCAACUGAAGAAUCUACCUAAACACAGUGGACCAAAAGAACAGGAUACAAAUUUUAGCAUCACUAAAGAGAAGAAUCCAUAGUCAUAUCAAACUAGAAAAGAUAAUGUGUAGUUAACGCACAUCUCAUGUAGCAUGGAAUUGAUUAUUUAAAAGAGAAAACCUCAGAUAACUAAGGCCAAAAAACAGGAUACACAAGUUAGCAUCACUAAGUGAAAAAUUCAUACCCAUACCAAACUAGAUAUGAUAGUGCACAUUUCAAGUCGCAUGUAAAUUGAUUAUAGAACAACAACAACAACUACCCAGUAUAGUCCCACAAAGUGGGGUCUGGGGAGGGUAAUAUGUAGACGGGCCUUACCCCUACCCGAAAGGGCAGAGAGGCUGUUUUCAAUCGACCCUCGGCUCAUGUAAAUUGAUUAUAGAAAAGAGAAAAAUUCAAAGAACCUGUGCCAUAACAGUCGUAGGAAUCUGAAUAAAACUAACUCCACGGAGGUAGGACGCGGCAGCAUAUCCACACAUGUCACCUAUGACUCCACCACCGAGGGCGACGAAUGUACAACGACGGUCCAGCCUUGAUUCGAUGGCCUUAUCAAAGACUUUCAUAAGAGUAUCCUGAAAUAGCAUAUUGACAACGUCACAUAAACCUUAAAGAUAAACAGUUUCUCUUGAAACUCAUAUUCUUGGAACCCAUUGCUGCUUACCAUGUUUUUAAAUUGCUCACCAUCUGGCAAAAUGACACUUUCUACAGUAACAUUAGGGUUUCCGUCUGUCAAAGCACUUAUUGUUUUAUCAAGAUAUAGAGGGGCAACUGUAGUGUUAGUCACUACAAGGACUCUCUUCCCAUGAAUAUGUCUGCAAAAAAGACAGGGAAGAAAUUAAACACAGGAAUUCACAAGAAGCCGUAAACGAAUAUUAAGACAAUCAGACACACACAAUAAAAAAAAGCUUCCAAAACAGAACUGGAAACAACUCCAAGUUAGGUAAAAAAAAAAUUAUAAUGAUCAAUCAAAUUGAUUUCUUAAUUUCCUUUGAACAAGUAAAAGCAACCAACAGAUGAAUGAAACCAAAAAGGUUAUCAUAUUUCUUUCUGAAACCUUAUCAAUUUACUAGUGCAGCUACUCAAUACCCACAAAUCAGCAAAUGAAACCACAACCUUGAGAGAGAAAUAUCUUAUAUUGGUGUUGAGCAACCCCGACUAGCAUAAUCCAAUCUCACUUGGCUCUCCAAACCAGUUUGGGCCUCUUUUAAAGUAAAGUCGUGCUCACAGUGACUAGCAGCAGUAACAUUUAUUCACCUCACUGCCUUUCCAUUUUGUUAUGUUCUGUGUUCUUUUAUACUUAGGCACUUACUACAGGAAACAAAACCUAUUGCUGUAAGUCUGUAACAUCAUCCUAGGUUUUGCUGCUUGGGUGUCAAUAAGUUGAUUUGAAUACAUCUCAUGUUGCAAGCUGGCAGAUUAACUAGUUGUGACUCACUUUUGAUCCGUAAUAGCUUGUAGUGGACUAUGUUUUCAUGAAAAUCUUUGGUUCAAAUAGAAAAGGUUUGUCGAGAAAAGGUUAAUGUGCAUUUACAUGCACCUUCACCAACUAUUAUUACAUACAUCAUAAAUAAAUACUUUAUGAGCACACUGUUAUCUGCUUUUACAUACAAGGAGGACUAUUGAUAAGUGAAGCUAACCCAUCAUUUGUAACUUGCGUUCGCAUGUACACUUUACCAAUCUUUGCUCACUUUUUGUUACAUGGUAGCACAUGAAUACAAUAUUCAUGAGUAUUGAUAAGACUACCAUUAAAUUGUGAAAUUGCAUAUAGUUUGCUUACUCAAUUAAGAAGUAGCUAAAGUUUCAGUUGAAUCCAAACUACAGGAGCAGGAAUGAAGAACUUUUAGUAGGCACUGGACUCAUUGCACAGCAAGUAAACAUUUCUCUCUCCUGCUUAAAUGUAAGCUGGUGUUGCAGGUGCAGGGAAUACACGGAGGAUGGUGAUCAGUUGCUGUCACACUGUAGUUUUGGGGGGUCGUGUUCUCUUUGUUUGACAUCGAGUGAGUGCGCAGAUUGGCCAUGUAGAAGCUAUGAAAAGUUGAAGGUUCAGGGUGUUUGGGGAAAGAAUCUUGGAAAACUAGUCCACUAUGCCUUUUUGGACUAAAUGAAAUGAAAGAAAAUGGAAGGAUAUUUUGAGGCAAUGGGAGAAGCUUAAAUAACACCUUCUUGUAUAAUGUAUACUUUGGUGUGAAGAAAGAAUGCCAUUUCGUAUAACUUGAUAGGAG
RNAcentral lists this long non-coding RNA (4856 nucleotides) under Nicotiana benthamiana. RNAcentral describes it as "long non-coding RNA (NBEN_LNC004982)". The record is from RNAcentral. Lineage: Eukaryota; Viridiplantae; Streptophyta; Magnoliopsida; Solanales; Solanaceae.